This 497-nucleotide ribosomal RNA is filed under the name uncultured bacterium. RNAcentral describes it as "partial 16S ribosomal RNA". It matches the Rfam family "Bacterial small subunit ribosomal RNA", at positions 28 to 507 of the family's 1533-position model. The record is from RNAcentral.
GACGAACGCUGGCGGCGUGCCUAAUACAUGCAAGUUGAGCGCUGAAGGUUGGUACUUGUACCAACUGGAUGAGCAGCGAACGGGUGAGUACCGCGUGGGGAAUCUGCCUUUGAGCGGGGGACAACAUUUGGAAACGAAUGCUAAUACCGCAUAAAAACUUUAAACACAAGUUUUAAGUUUGAAAGAUGCAAUUGCAUCACUCAAAGAUGAUCCCGCGUUGUAUUAGCUAGUUGGUGAGGUAAAGGCUCACCAAGGCGAUGAUACAUAGCCGACCUGAGAGGGUGAUCGGCCACAUUGGGACUGAGACACGGCCCAAACUCCUACGGGAGGCAGCAGUAGGGAAUCUUCGGCAAUAGACGAAAGUCUGACCGAGCAACGCCGCGUGAGUGAAGAAGGUUUUCGGAUCGUAAAACUCUGUUGGUAGAGAAGAACGUUGGUGAGAGUGGAAAGCUCAUCAAGUGACGGUAACUACCCAGAAAGGGACGGCUAACUACGUG